Octopus bimaculoides (California two-spot octopus) is the source of this 896-nucleotide long non-coding RNA. RefSeq lists it as uncharacterized. Lineage: Eukaryota; Metazoa; Mollusca; Cephalopoda; Octopoda; Octopodidae. The record is from RefSeq and is a predicted model, not a curated record.
UAGUUAACAGUGUCUGUUCGACGUGUGUUGGUUUAGCAGUCGAUAGUUGAACCGUGAAUACUGAGUAUCGUAACUAUGUUCGAGUAGUACGCAAUGCGUUUUGUGUUAACAUAUUUCUGCGAUAGGUUAUUUUUAGAUAACCACAACCAAUUAUUUAUUUGUGUAAUAUCAUUUACACCAGACUGUAAAAGAACAGGAAGUUACUAUAGAAUGAGAGCUACUCCACAAACGCGCAAUUUGUACAAUCUUUAUCUAAUUUGUAUUACUUUUGAUAAAGCUCUCGGAUUUAACUAUCAUCAGGAAGUUAUAUCACAGCAAAUGCAUCGCCUGUAAUUUCAUCACAAAAUAUUCAUAUUGCCUUGCGAUACAUUAUCAAUAAAUUUCUCGUCUUUUUCUUUAUCCACCGAGUAUGUACAUCGCUAAACAUUAUUUAAAACUUUUUAUUCAUUGAGGCACUGCAUUUUGUUAAGAAUGAAACAGAAAUUCAAAAGGAAAAAUAUUUAACCCUACAAUUUAGAAAUUGUGAGAAACAUUGAAAAUGAAAGAAUCAAGAAACGAAACAAUAAACAAACAGUAUAUCGCAGUCAUUGGACUACGAUCAUGCUGGGGCACCGCCUUGAAGAAUUUUAAUCAAACACAUCGACAUCAGGGCUUGUUUUCUAGGCCUGGUAAUCAUUCUAUAGAUCUCUUUUACAGAACCGCUAAUAAAUAGAGAUAUAAACAAACCAACACCAGUUAUCAAGCGGUAGUGGGGGACAAUCAUAAGCACAAAGAGACACAGACUUAUAUGAUGGGUGUCUACUCUUAAGGCAUUAGCCAAACCAGGGCUAUAGUAGAAGACACUUUCUCAAGAUGCUGCGGGGUGGGACUGAACCUGAGACCAUGUGGUCGCAAAA